GCUAAUCUGCGAUAAGCGUCAGUAGGCGGUGAUACGAACGUCAACCGGCGAUUUUGAAUGGUGGCAGUCCCAGUGCGUUCUUUGGCCACACCAUCAUUAACUGAAUCCAGGUUGGUCGCGAUAACCGGGGAACUGAAACAUCUAAGCACCCUGGAGGAAAGAAAUCAACCGAGAUUCCCCGCAGCGGCGAGAGCGAACGGGGUGAGCAGCUCCAGAGCCCGAACCGCAUGUUAGCAGGCCGUCUGGAAAGGCGCGCGAUACAGGUGACAGCCCUGCACACAAAAAUGCAUUACAUUGUGGUUUCAUUGAGCAGGGCGGAAUAAUGGCAUCCUGUCUGAAUAUGUGACCAUCCUCCGCCAACACCUGACUGACCGAUAGCGAACCAGCACCGUGAGGAAAGGCGAAAGAACCCCCGCGAGGGGAGGAAAAAGAACCCGGAAACCGCAAUGCGCCAAGCAGUGGAGCACGCCAGCGUGCACGGCGUACCCUUUGUAUAAAUGGUCAGCGACUUAUAUUCUGUAGCAAGGUUAACCGAAUAGGGGAGCCGAAGGAAACCGAGUCUGAAUCGGGCGUUAAGUUGCAGGUAUAGACCCGAAACCCGGUGAUCUAGCCAUGGCAGGUUGGAAAGGCUGGGUAACAAUUAACUGGAGGAAUCGCAACCACCAAUGCUGAAAAUUAUGGAUGACUUGUGGGGUGAAAGGCCAAUCAAACCGGGAGAUAGCCGGUUCCCUCCCCGAAAGCUUAUUUAGGUAUACCGUGAAUUCAUCUCCGGGGGUAGAGACUGUUUCGGCAGGUACGUCCCCGACUGGCAUCGCAACCCGAUGCAAACUGCGAAUACCGGUAAAUGCUGUUCACGGGAGACACAUCGGCGGGUGCUAACGUCCGUCGAAGAGGGAAACAACCCAGACCGCCAGCUACGUCCCAAAGUCAUGCUAAGUGGGGUUCGAUGUGGAAGGCCCAGACAGCCGUGAUGCUGGCUUGUAGCCAGCCAUCACCAAAAGAAAGCGUAAUAGCUCAUCGAGUCGGUCUGCGCGGAAGAUGUAACGGGCUAAACCAUGCACCCGAAGUUUUCGCGGCAGCGACAUUAACGGCGCGUUGCUGGGCAGGGGAGUUCUGUAAGCCCGUGAAGGUGUACGUGGAGGCCGCCAGGAGGUAAUUGUAGCGAAACGCCGACAUAAAGCACGAUAAGUGGGUGAAAAGCCCGCCUGCCGCAGCUAACCAAGGGUUCCUGUCCAACGUUAAUCAGCAGGGUGAGCUUCCUCUACAAGGAGUCAGGCGUCGAUGGGAGAAACAGGUUAUCCCAAUUUGCGUUGCCACCAAGUGAAGGGACGGUGAAGGCUAUGCUGGCUGGCGACGGUUGUCCCGGUUUAAGCGUGUAGGCUGGCUUCUCCAGCAACCGAAAAACUGCUGUUUAUGGCGGCGAUGAAUGAGGCACCCGCCGGUGCGCUGAAGCUAAAUAAAAUGCCCUGUCGAAAAGCCUCAAGCACUGCGUAACAUCGUAAAUCGCACCCCAAACCGACACAGUAAUGCGGCAGAGAAUACCAAGGCGCUUCGAGAGUAUGAACCCUGCGAAGGGAACUAGGCAAAAUGGUGCCGUAACUUCGGGAGAAGCGCCGAUAUGGUGGUGAAGUCCCGCGGAUGGAGUCGUUCAGUCGAAGAUACCAGCCAUGCGUAACCGUUUAUUGAAAACACAGCACUGUGCAAACACGGCGCGGACGUAUACGGUGUAUUCGCCCGGUGCCGGUUAAUUGAUGUAGUUAGCCGCAAGUAGCCUUUGAUCGAAGCCCCGGUAAACGGCGGCUAUUGUAACUAUAACGGUCCUGUUGUAGCGAAAUUUUGUCGGGUAAGUUCCGACCUGCACGAAUGGCGUAUCGAUGGUCGUGUCGCCCACCUCGAUCGAAGUGAAAUUCAAACCGCUGUGGAAGAUGCAAAAAUUCGCGGGUAAGACGGAAAGACCCUGCGAACCUUUUACUAGUAGUUUGACACUGCAACAUUGAGCCUCGAUGUGUAGGAUAGAGGCUUUGAAGUGGACGCUGGGGUCUGUGGAGCCGGACCUUGAAAUACCACCCUUUACCGUUUGAUGUUCCUAACGUUGACCCGUAAUCCGGGCUUUUCAGGACAGUGUUCAGUGGUAGUUUGACUGGCGUCCUCCCUAAAGAGUAACGAUGAGUACCAGCGCUUGGCUUAACUCGGGUCGGACAUCAGGAGUUAGGCGUAAUGGCAUAAGCCAUUUGACUAUGAGCGUGACGGCGCGCGAGCAGGUGCGAAAGCAGGUCAUAAAGUGAUCCGGUGGUUCCGGAACGGAAGGGCCAUCGCUCAACGGAUAAAAGCGCAAUUCGGGAUAAUAGGCCAGAUACCGCCUAAGAGUUCAGCGUAUCGAUUUAUGGUGUUUGCACCCCACAAUGGCUCAUCACAUCCCUGGCCAGCGAGGGUCCCAAGGGUAUGGGGCUGUCGCCAUUUAAAGUGAAAGCGCGAAAGCUGGGUUUUAGGAACGUCGGCAUUUAGUUCAAUCUUUAUCUGCCGUGGGCGUUUGAAACCGAGGGGCCGUUCCAGUGAGAGGACCGGAGUGGACGCAUCAAUUGGUGUUCGCUGUCGCCAAUGGCACUGCCCGGUAGCUAAAUGCGGAAGAGAUAAGUGCUGAAAGCAUCUGGCACGGAAACUUGCCCUGAGAUGCCCUCCUGAAUUCCCUUGAGAGAGUCCUGAAGGAAACGCUGAAGACGACGACGUUGAUAGGCCGGUGUAAGCAGCGAUGUUGAGCUUAAAUCGGUACCUUAAUGAACCGUGAGGUUUAACCUUUACAAACGCCG
Molecule: ribosomal RNA, 2807 nt
Filed under: Escherichia coli
Lineage: Bacteria; Pseudomonadati; Pseudomonadota; Gammaproteobacteria; Enterobacterales; Enterobacteriaceae
Description: 23S ribosomal RNA
Rfam family: Bacterial large subunit ribosomal RNA
Source: RNAcentral